CUAGAACCUUCUGAGAACAUUGAUACUGCUGUGCGCUUUUGAUUGUGUUGGUUUCCUCGUGGCAAGUCAACAGGUCUGCUGGCCUCCAGCUCCUCUCCCUCUCCCUCUAUCCAUUUGAGAUCAUUCACCUCUCUCCUGUCAUUCUACCCACUCAUCCCUUAAUAUAAGACGUUCUAUCUCUCCUGUCAAAUCUAAUACAUCUAUCUAAUUUUGAGGUUUUCUAUCUCUCCUGUCAUAUCUAAUAUAUCUAUCUAAAUUUUGGAAAUUCUAUCAUUCUAUCCCUCUAAUUCUAUCCCGCUCUAUCUCCUUGCAUUCUUGCAAGAAACCGAUAUUUUGGAACGAUAUAUUUGAACCUUGUCUUUUGGAACGAUAUAUUUCAACCUUGUCUUUUGGAACCUGAUGUAACAGAUUACUGGUAUCUGUUUUGGAUUCAUGGGUUGAUUGGAACCUGAUCAUUCUGUUUUAUGGAUCUGUGAGUUUCUCUGCUCACACUUCUUCUACCUCUCCUGUCUCUCUCUCACACACAUUUGAUUUGGCCUUUUCAAUUGGCAAAAACCUUAUUAUUGUAUUUUUUAAUUGUCCAUAUUGUAUUAAUAUUCUAUUUGGUAACAGUCAUAAUUAAAUAAAUGAUUAAGUAUU
Long non-coding RNA from Perca fluviatilis (European perch), 639 nucleotides. RefSeq lists it as uncharacterized. The transcript is spliced from 4 exons. Lineage: Eukaryota; Metazoa; Chordata; Actinopteri; Perciformes; Percidae. The record is from RefSeq and is a predicted model, not a curated record.